GUCGAACGAUGAGGCCCCUACGGGGGUACAUCAGUGGCAGACGGGUGAGUAACACGUAUGUAACCUGCCCUCGAGACGGGGAUAACGGCUGGAAACGGUCGCUAAGACCCGACAUAGUCUGACCUUCGGGAGAAUGUGAGAGGAAAGGCUUCGGUGCUCGGGGAGGGGCCUGCGGCCCAUCAGCUAGUUGGAGAGGUAACGGCUCCCCAAUGCAAUGACGGGUAUGGGGUGUGAGAGCAUGGCCCCCCACACUGGGACUGAGACACGGGCCAGACUCCUACGGGAGGCAGCAGCAGGGAAUAUUGCGCAAUGGACGGAAGUCUGACGCAGCGACGCCGCGUGGAUAGACGAAGGCCUUCGGGUUGUAAAAUCCUUUUCCGGGCGAUGAGGAAGGACACUAGCCUGGGAAUAAGCGUCGGCUAACUACGUGCCAGCAGCCGCGGUAAGACGUAGGACGCGAGCGUUAUCCGGAUUUACUGGGCGUAAAGCGCCUGCAGGCGGUCAGGUAAGUCGGUUGUGAAAGCCCCGUGCUCAACGCGUGGAGGCCAAGCGAUACUGCGUGACUUGAGGGCGGAAGAGGGGAGUGGAAUUCCCGGUGUAGCGGUAAAAUGCGCAGAUAUCGGGAGGAACACCAGUGGCGAAGGCGGCUCCCUGGACCGNACCUGACGCUCAGAGGCGAAAGCUAGGGGAGCGAACAGGAUUAGAGACCCUGGUAGUCCUAGCCCUAAACGCUGGAUGCUAGGUGUAGGGCUGAUGAGGCUCUGUGCCGGAGCGAACGCGAUAAGCAUCCCGCCUGGGAACUACGGCCGCAAGGCUAAAACUCAAACGAAUUGACGGGGACCCGCACAAGCAGCGGAGCGUGUGGUUUAAUUCGAUGCUACACGAAGAACCUUACCUGGGUUUGACAUGUUGGUGGUACCGAACCGAAAGGGGAGGGACCCUUCGGGGAGCCAACACAGGUGCUGCAUGGCUGUCGUCAGCUCGUGCCGUGAGGUGUCGGGUUAAGUCCCGUAACGAGCGCAACCCUUGCUCUUAGUUAUACGUGUCUAAGGGGACUGCCGGCGACAAGCCGGAGGAAGGUGGGGAUGACGUCAAGUCAGCAUGGCCUCGAUAUCCAGGGCUACACACACGCUACAAUGGCCGGUACAAAGGGCAGCCAAGC
Molecule: ribosomal RNA, 1162 nt
Filed under: uncultured organism
Description: bacterial SSU rRNA
Rfam family: Bacterial small subunit ribosomal RNA
Source: RNAcentral